GACGAACGCUGGCGGCGUGCUUAACACAUGCAAGUCGAACGGAAAGGCCCUGCUUUUGUGGGGUGCUCGAGUGGCGAACGGGUGAGUAACACGUGAGUAACCUGCCCUUGACUUUGGGAUAACUUCAGGAAACUGGGGCUAAUACCGGAUAGGAUCUCCUGCUGCAUGGUGGGGGUUGGAAAGUUUCGGCGGUUGGGGAUGGACUCGCGGCUUAUCAGCUUGUUGGUGGGGUAGUGGCUUACCAAGGCUUUGACGGGUAGCCGGCCUGAGAGGGUGACCGGCGACAUUGGGACUGAGAUACGGCCCAGAAUCCUACGGGAGGCAGCAGUGGGGAAUAUUGCACAAUGGGCGGAAGCCUGAUGCAGCAACGCCGCGUGCGGGAUGACGGCCUUCGGGUUGUAAACCGCUUUCGCCUGUGACGAAGCGUGAGUGACGGUAAUGGGUAAAGAAGCACCGGCUAACUACGUG
Molecule: ribosomal RNA, 468 nt
Filed under: uncultured bacterium
Lineage: Bacteria
Description: partial 16S ribosomal RNA
Rfam family: Bacterial small subunit ribosomal RNA
Source: RNAcentral